GAUGAACGCUGGCGGCGUGCCUAAUACAUGCAAGUCGAGCGAACGGACGAGAAGCUUGCUUCUCUGAUGUUAGCGGCGGACGGGUGAGUAGCACGUGGAUAACCUACCUAUAAGACUGGGAUAACUUCGGGAAACCGGAGCUAAUACCGGAUAAUAUUUUGAACCGCAUGGUUCAAAAGUGAAAGACGGUCUUGCUGUCACUUAUAGAUGGAUCCGCGCUGCAUUAGCUAGUUGGUAAGGUAACGGCUUACCAAGGCAACGAUGCAUAGCCGACCUGAGAGGGUGAUCGGCCACACUGGAACUGAGACACGGUCCAGACUCCUACGGGAGGCAGCAGUAGGGAAUCUUCCGCAAUGGGCGAAAGCCUGACGGAGCAACGCCGCGUGAGUGAUGAAGGUCUUCGGAUCGUAAAACUCUGUUAUUAGGGAAGAACAUAUGUGUAAGUAACUGUGCACAUCUUGACGGUACCUAAUCAGAAAGCCACGGCUAACUACGUGCCAGCAGCCGCGGUAAUACGUAGGUGGCAAGCGUUAUCCGGAAUUAUUGGGCGUAAAGCGCGCGUAGGCGGUUUUUUAAGUCUGAUGUGAAAGCCCACGGCUCAACCGUGGAGGGUCAUUGGAAACUGGAAAACUUGAGUGCAGAAGAGGAAAGUGGAAUUCCAUGUGUAGCGGUGAAAUGCGCAGAGAUAUGGAGGAACACCAGUGGCGAAGGCGACUUUCUGGUCUGUAACUGACGCUGAUGUGCGAAAGCGUGGGGAUCAAACAGGAUUAGAUACCCUGGUAGUCCACGCCGUAAACGAUGAGUGCUAAGUGUUAGGGGGUUUCCGCCCCUUAGUGCUGCAGCUAACGCAUUAAGCACUCCGCCUGGGGAGUACGACCGCAAGGUUGAAACUCAAAGGAAUUGACGGGGACCCGCACAAGCGGUGGAGCAUGUGGUUUAAUUCGAAGCAACGCGAAGAACCUUACCAAAUCUUGGCAUCCUUUGACAACUCUAGAGAUAGAGCCUUCCCCUUCGGGGGACAAAGUGACAGGUGGUGCAUGGUUGUCGUCAGCUCGUGUCGUGAGAUGUUGGGUUAAGUCCCGCAACGAGCGCAACCCUUAAGCUUAGUUGCCAUCAUUAAGUUGGGCACUCUAAGUUGACUGCCGGUGACAAACCGGAGGAAGGUGGGGAUGACGUCAAAUCAUCAUGCCCCUUAUGAUUUGGGCUACACACGUGCUACAAUGGACAAUACAAAGGGCAGCGAAACCGCGAGGUCAAGCAAAUCCCAUAAAGUUGUUCUCAGUUCGGAUUGUAGUCUGCAACUCGACUACAUGAAGCUGGAAUCGCUAGUAAUCGUAGAUCAGCAUGCUACGGUGAAUACGUUCCCGGGUCU
This 1372-nucleotide ribosomal RNA is filed under the name uncultured bacterium. Its description in RNAcentral is "bacterial SSU rRNA". It matches the Rfam family "Bacterial small subunit ribosomal RNA", at positions 28 to 1381 of the family's 1533-position model. The record is from RNAcentral.